This 117-nucleotide small RNA is filed under the name Pongo abelii (Sumatran orangutan). Its description in RNAcentral is "Metazoan signal recognition particle RNA (ENSPPYG00000033399.1)". Lineage: Eukaryota; Metazoa; Chordata; Mammalia; Primates; Hominidae. The record is from Rfam by way of RNAcentral.
GCCGGGCAUGGUGGCUCAUGCCUGUAAUCCCAACAGUUUGGGAGGCCGAGGUAGGCGGAUCACCUGAGGUCAGGAGUUUGAGACCAGCCUGGCCAACAUGGUGAAACCCCACCUCUA